AAGCGGAGGAAAAGAAACUAACAAGGAUUCCCCUAGUAGCGGCGAGCGAAGCGGGAAGAGCUCAAAUUUAUAAUCUGGCACCUUCGGUGUCCGAGUUGUAAUCUCUAGAAAUGUUUUCCGCGCUGGACCGCACACAAGUCUGUUGGAAUACAGCGGCAUAGUGGUGAGACCCCCGUAUAUGGUGCGGAUGCCCAGCGCUUUGUGAUACAUUUUCGAAGAGUCGAGUUGUUUGGGAAUGCAGCUCAAAUUGGGUGGUAAAUUCCAUCUAAAGCUAAAUAUUGGCGAGAGACCGAUAGCGAACAAGUACCGUGAGGGAAAGAUGAAAAGCACUUUGGAAAGAGAGUUAACAGUACGUGAAAUUGUUGGAAGGGAAACGCUUGAAGUCAGACUUGCUUGCCGAGCAAUCGGUUUGCAGGCCAGCAUCAGUUUUCCGGGAUGGAUAAUGGUAGAGAGAAGGUAGCAGUUUCGGCUGUGUUAUAGCUCUCUACUGGAUACAUCUUGGGGGACUGAGGAACGCAGUGUGCCUUACGGCGGGGGUUUCGACCUCUUCACACUUAGGAUGCUGGUGGAAUGGCUUUAAACGACCCGUCUUG
RNAcentral lists this ribosomal RNA (593 nucleotides) under Rhodotorula dairenensis. RNAcentral describes it as "eukaryotic LSU rRNA". It matches the Rfam family "Eukaryotic large subunit ribosomal RNA", at positions 48 to 656 of the family's 3401-position model. Lineage: Eukaryota; Fungi; Basidiomycota; Microbotryomycetes; Sporidiobolales; Sporidiobolaceae. The record is from RNAcentral.